Molecule: ribosomal RNA, 1337 nt
Filed under: uncultured bacterium
Lineage: Bacteria
Description: bacterial SSU rRNA
Rfam family: Bacterial small subunit ribosomal RNA
Source: RNAcentral
GACGAACGCUGGCGGCGUGCUUAACACAUGCAAGUCGAACGGAAAGGCCCUUCGGGGUACUCGAGUGGCGAACGGGUGAGUAACACGUGGGUGAUCUGCCCUGCACUUUGGGAUAAGCCUGGGAAACUGGGUCUAAUACCGAAUAGGACCACGCGCUUCAUGGUGUGUGGUGGAAAGCUUUUGCGGUGUGGGAUGGGCCCGCGGCCUAUCAGCUUGUUGGUGGGGUAAUGGCCUACCAAGGCGACGACGGGUAGCCGGCCUGAGAGGGUGACCGGCCACACUGGGACUGAGAUACGGCCCAGACUCCUACGGGAGGCAGCAGUGGGGAAUAUUGCACAAUGGGCGCAAGCCUGAUGCAGCGACGCCGCGUGAGGGAUGACGGCCUUCGGGUUGUAAACCUCUUUCAAUAGGGACGAAGCGCAAGUGACGGUACCUAUAGAAGAAGCACCGGCCAACUACGUGCCAGCAGCCGCGGUAAUACGUAGGGUGCGAGCGUUGUCCGGAAUUACUGGGCGUAAAGAGCUCGUAGGUGGUUUGUCGCGUUGUUCGUGAAAACUCACAGCUUAACUGUGGGCGUGCGGGCGAUACGGGCAGACUAGAGUACUGCAGGGGAGACUGGAAUUCCUGGUGUAGCGGUGGAAUGCGCAGAUAUCAGGAGGAACACCGGUGGCGAAGGCGGGUCUCUGGGCAGUAACUGACGCUGAGGAGCGAAAGCGUGGGGAGCGAACAGGAUUAGAUACCCUGGUAGUCCACGCCGUAAACGGUGGGUACUAGGUGUGGGUUCCUUCCUUGGGAUCCGUGCCGUAGCUAACGCAUUAAGUACCCCGCCUGGGGAGUACGGCCGCAAGGCUAAAACUCAAAGGAAUUGACGGGGGCCCGCACAAGCGGCGGAGCAUGUGGAUUAAUUCGAUGCAACGCGAAGAACCUUACCUGGGUUUGACAUGCACAGGACGCCGGCAGAGAUGUCGGUUCCCUUGUGGCCUGUGUGCAGGUGGUGCAUGGCUGUCGUCAGCUCGUGUCGUGAGAUGUUGGGUUAAGUCCCGCAACGAGCGCAACCCUUGUCCUAUGUUGCCAGCGGGUUAUGCCGGGGACUCGUAGGAGACUGCCGGGGUCAACUCGGAGGAAGGUGGGGAUGACGUCAAGUCAUCAUGCCCCUUAUGUCCAGGGCUUCACACAUGCUACAAUGGCCGGUACAAAGGGCUGCGAUGCCGUGAGGUGGAGCGAAUCCUUUCAAAGCCGGUCUCAGUUCGGAUCGGGGUCUGCAACUCGACCCCGUGAAGUCGGAGUCGCUAGUAAUCGCAGAUCAGCAACGCUGCGGUGAAUACGUUCCAGGGCCU